This 304-nucleotide ribosomal RNA is filed under the name uncultured bacterium. RNAcentral describes it as "bacterial SSU rRNA". It matches the Rfam family "Bacterial small subunit ribosomal RNA", at positions 211 to 507 of the family's 1533-position model. The record is from RNAcentral.
UCUGCCGCUUAUGGAUGGACCUGCGUCGCAUUAGCUAGUUGGAGUGGUAAAGGCACACCAAGGCGACGAUGCGUAGCCGACCUGAGAGGGUGAGCGGCCACACUGGGACUGAGACACGGCCCAGACUCCUACGGGAGGCAGCAGUAGGGAAUCUUCCGCAAUGGACGAAAGUCUGACGGAGCAACGCCGCGUGAGUGAAGAAGGUUUUCGGAUCGUAAAGCUUUGUUGCCAGGGAAGAAGAGCAAGGAGAGGAACUGCUCCUUGAGUGACGGUACCUGAGAAGAAAGCCCCGGCUAACUACGUG